Molecule: unclassified non-coding RNA, 267 nt
Filed under: uncultured fungus
Lineage: Eukaryota; Fungi
Description: sequence contains 5.8S rRNA gene
Source: RNAcentral
GAACGCAUAUUGCGCCUGCCAGCACUCUGGCAGGCAUGCCUGUUCGAGCGUCAUUUCAACACUCAGGUCUUAGUCGCCUGGCGUUGGGGCGCUGCGGCACGGCCCGCAGGCCCCCAAAUAUAGCGGCGGACCCGCCGCGGCCCUGAGCGCAGUAGUUGACAAAGCCUCGCUCCGGCGGCCGCGGCGCGGCCCUGCCCCCGCCCAACAGCGCGAAACGCGCGAGCAAAGUUGACCUCGGAUCAGGUAGGACUACCCGCUGAACUUAAG